AACGAACGCUGGCGGCAUGCCUAACACAUGCAAGUCGAACGAGACCUUCGGGUCUAGUGGCGCAAGGGUGCGUAACGCGUGGGAACCUGCCCUUAGGUUCGGAAUAACUCCCCGAAAGGGGUGCUAAUACCGGAUAAUGUCUUCGGACCAAAGAUUUAUCGCCUUUGGAUGGGCCCGCGUUGGAUUAGCUAGUUGGUAGGGUAAAAGCCUACCAAGGCGACGAUCCAUAGCUGGUCUGAGAGGAGGAUCAGCCACACUGGGACUGAGACACGGCCCAGACUCCUACGGAGGGCAGCAGUGGGGAAUAUUGGACAUGGGGCGAAGGCCUGAGCCAGCAAGGCCGGGUGAGUGAUAAAGGCCUUAGGGUUGUAAAGCUCUUUUACCCGGGAUGAUAAUGACAGUACCGGGAGAAUAAGCUCCGGCUAACUCCGUG
Molecule: ribosomal RNA, 433 nt
Filed under: uncultured bacterium
Lineage: Bacteria
Description: partial 16S ribosomal RNA
Rfam family: Bacterial small subunit ribosomal RNA
Source: RNAcentral